RNAcentral lists this ribosomal RNA (277 nucleotides) under Segatella copri DSM 18205. RNAcentral's name for it is "Prevotella copri DSM 18205 partial 16S ribosomal RNA". It matches the Rfam family "Bacterial small subunit ribosomal RNA", at positions 502 to 776 of the family's 1533-position model. The record is from RNAcentral. Lineage: Bacteria; Pseudomonadati; Bacteroidota; Bacteroidia; Bacteroidales; Prevotellaceae.
UAUGGUAGCCAGCCGCCGCGGUAAUACGGAAGGUCCGGGCGUUAUCCGGAUUUAUUGGGUUUAAAGGGAGCGUAGGCCGGAGAUUAAGCGUGUUGUGAAAUGUAGACGCUCAACGUCUGCACUGCAGCGCGAACUGGUUUCCUUGAGUACGCACAAAGUGGGCGGAAUUCGUGGUGUAGCGGUGAAAUGCUUAGAUAUCACGAAGAACUCCGAUUGCGAAGGCAGCUCACUGGAGCGCAACUGACGCUGAAGCUCGAAAGUGCGGGUAUCGAACAGG